Molecule: ribosomal RNA, 200 nt
Filed under: uncultured bacterium
Lineage: Bacteria
Description: partial 16S ribosomal RNA
Rfam family: Bacterial small subunit ribosomal RNA
Source: RNAcentral
GAUGAACGCUAGCGGCAGGCCUAAUACAUGCAAGUCGAGGGGCAGCACGGUAGCAAUACUGGUGGCGACCGGCAAACGGGUGCGGAACACGUACGCAACCUUCCUUUAAGAGAUGAAUAGCCCGAGGAAAUUCAGAUUAAUGCAUCGUAAGAUUGUGGGAUGGCAUCAUCCAGCAAUUAAAGAUUUAUUUCGCUUAAAGA